CUUUAAUAGCCUCUGUCCACUGAACACAUUUCUCACACAUUUCUGAAAAUGACACAUUUUUGCAAAGUGUGUGAAUUGCGCCUUGGGCGUUUCCCCUAAGAAAACAUAAUUCACGCAUCUUUCAAAAUAGGCUAAUUUUUGAAAAAUGCGUAAACUCGCCCUGAACAUUUCGUGUUUUUUGCGAUGAUUUAUCCAGAUUUGUGAUGUUGUGAAAAAUGGUAAAGUAUCGUAAACAUCAACAGCUGAUAUAUUAACGAAUGCAAGCGACAACUUUAUAUAAGAAAUUUAAAUUAGAAUAACCUCACAGUUUUUAGAAUUUAAACAUGGCGAAAUGUCGAAAAGAGUACCUAAAGUGGAGCCCUUACGGCGAGAGCGCAAUUUUCGAGAUUUUUAUUUAAAGAAACGGUAGUUUUUCCACUCACAUGUCACCGACAACCGAUGGAGCACCUAUAUGUAAAACUUGAAAAUGUGACAAUUCUUAAGCCAGUGGAGAAAGGCUAUAAUAAGAUAAGUAACGCCCUACAACAAGAUGCUACAACAAAUUAAUUUUUAAAAAUUGAAAACGCAAACGAAAUCAGUAUUAUUGCUUUCUCACACUCCAAAGAGCGAAAACUCUAAAAAUGGAAUUUACUUUCAGCUUCCGCUCUGUGAGAGUUGUAUAGGCAAUUGUGUUUGUAUGUAAGUGAAUAUACAUAACAGCAUAUCUAAAUAUGUUGUUAUUCUCUGCUCUGGGUUUUGCUGGCAAAGAAAUAUAUCUCGCUUGUUUCCUACUGCAGACUUUUCUAGUCGAUGUAAACGAUGAUUUAUAUAAUUUCUUUAAAUUAAAUUAUUUAUUUUCUUAUCCCAAUUAGGAAAUAAGUAUGCAAAUCUUUUCAUUUUUAAUAUACAUUUUAAAUAUUUUUUUGGGAGCGUAGUAAUAAUUUUCCAUAAUAAAUAGCAGUGUUAGGAAAGCCAAAUAUUUCAAUCUCUGAGCCUGCCCAUGACGGGUUGGCAGCAGCCAAAAGUCCUAUUUGAAUAUAAAUAAAAGUCUAUAUUUUAAAACACUUAUCUAUAAGUUUCAAUUAUUUAUUAUUCAAUAUUUACAUAUAUUUAGAUACGACGAUAUGUCAGUACAGUAUGUCAGACAGUAUCUCAGACGCCACAUCGAUUUUGUUUCUUCAUUAAAUGGAAAGAUACUUUUUAA
Molecule: non-coding RNA, 1183 nt
Organism: Drosophila virilis
Lineage: Eukaryota; Metazoa; Arthropoda; Insecta; Diptera; Drosophilidae
Source: RefSeq, a predicted model, not a curated record